UUUACGCAUCAAUUGUCCAAGCACUUCAUGAGAAGCUUCAAUCUUUAUAAUCCAACUCACUGUAUAAUCUUUAGAAGCUUCAAUCUCAUCAACAACUAAACAUACAAAUUCUGUAGCACAAUAUACAUAUAUACACACAAAAAAAAGAGAAGGAAUGUACCGUUUCCUGUGUCGUUUCGUCUUGAAAUGUUCAUCCCUCACCGCCACACUCGCAAAGUAUCGACUGGAGAAAUCAACGAAAAGAAACAAAUUCAAACAAAACCCCAAAUCACAAUAAUUAUGCAUAAAACAUACAAAUACAUUUAGAUGUACAUCAAGAGAAUAAGAUAAUUUACUCGCAGUGUACGCAGUAAUACUGUCCCAUCCCCGGAAGAUCUUCAUCUACAGGCAAGGGCUUCUUCUCGUCAUCUAGCUUCUGAAGCUCCUCAUAAACAGCAUCGUCACGUGGACCACAGUCAAGAAAAAUUACCACAAAGCACGAUUUUUUGAACAGAUUUAACAAAAAUUGAGAAAAAGUUUACCAGAAACAGCGAGAAAGUGAGAGAAAAUACGAGAAAAACUAUGCGAAGGAAAUCUCUGAGGAGAUUAAACAAACAAUAUCUGUCAAUCCGUUUCCAGAGAAAGCGCAAUCUCUUAUCUCCCUCUUUCUCUCUCCUAACUUAAAACAAUCGAUUCUAUUCUUUUCUCUCUUGGUAAUCAAACAAAUUUGAGAAAUUUUUGAAGAGAGAGAGCGAGAAAGUGAAAGAAAAUACGAGAAAACAGUGAAAGGAUAUCUUUGAUUAAUAAUUUGGAUCGUCGAUAGGUUUUGUGAGAGUAUCUUCUCUUCUUCACCUUCCUAUGCGGGCACUUUCCUCCCAUUUUUCUUCGGUUCGAUCGAUUUGAGAGCUUUGAGCUUGUUACUGCGACUGCAAUGGAUUACGGUUUUAUCGUUUUGUACUAUUAAAGCCCUAGGUUUGUAGAAGACGGUAUUGAGCCCAGGUUUCAAUUCGUAUUUUGGUGGGCUGGAGCCCAAUCGGUAUAAUACUUCAGAAAAAGCCCAAUCCAUU
RNAcentral lists this long non-coding RNA (1046 nucleotides) under Actinidia chinensis (golden kiwifruit). RNAcentral describes it as "long non-coding RNA (ACHI_LNC004978)". Lineage: Eukaryota; Viridiplantae; Streptophyta; Magnoliopsida; Ericales; Actinidiaceae. The record is from RNAcentral.